UACGUAGGGGGCAAGCGUUAUCCGGAUUUACUGGGUGUAAAGGGAGCGUAGACGGCAGAGCAAGUCUGAAGUGAAAGCCCGCGGCCCAACUGCGGGACUGCUUUGGAAACCGCCCGGCUAGAGUGCUGGAGAGGUAAGCGGAAUUCCUAGUGUAGCGGUGAAAUGCGUAGAUAUUAGGAGGAACACCAGUGGCGAAGGCGGCUUACUGGACAGUAACUGACGUUGAGGCUCGAAAGCGUGGGGAGCAAACAGG
This 253-nucleotide ribosomal RNA is filed under the name uncultured bacterium. RNAcentral describes it as "partial 16S ribosomal RNA". It matches the Rfam family "Bacterial small subunit ribosomal RNA", at positions 524 to 776 of the family's 1533-position model. The record is from RNAcentral.